Molecule: long non-coding RNA, 224 nt
Organism: Eurytemora carolleeae
Lineage: Eukaryota; Metazoa; Arthropoda; Copepoda; Calanoida; Temoridae
Exons: 3
Source: RefSeq, a predicted model, not a curated record
UGUAGACAUAAAACUAGUUGUAAAAUAAUUCUGAAAACGUAUAGAGGAAACAAGCUAGGGUUUAGUUGGGCCAUGUGUAAAAAGCCAAAAUGGGCGACAGGAAAAUUCUUUGCUCUCUGUGAUCCUAAAUAAACUGAGAAAUAUCAUAUCAACAUAUUUGCUAUUGUGUAAUUUGUAUCAAUAAAUCUAAUUUGUAUCAAUAAAUCUAAUUUGUAUCAAUAAAA